CGCACGAGAAGUGGAGCAAUCCAUGAGUAAAGUGGCGCACGGGUGAGUAACACGUGGAUGAUCUACCUUUUAGUGGGGAAUACCUCCGGGAAACUGGAGACAAUACCGCAUAAGCCGUUGUUUUCAAUGAUGACGGGAAAGCCGCAAGGCGCUGAAAGAGGAGUCCGCGGUCGAUUAGCUUGAUGGCGGGGUAAUGGCCCACCAUGGCGAAGAUCGAUAGCCGGCCUGAGAGGGCACACGGCCACACUGGCACUGAAACACGGGCCAGACUCCUACGGGAGGCAGCAGUGGGGAAUCUUGCACAAUGGGGGAAACCCUGAUGCAGCGACGCCGCGUGAGUGAUGAAGCCCUUCGGGGUGUAAAGCUCUUCCGACAGGAACGAUAAUGACGGUACCUGAAGAAGAAGCUGCGGCUAACUACGUGCCAGCAGCCGCGGUAAUACGUAGGCAGCAAGCGUUGUUCGGAAUUACUGGGCGUAAAGAGUGUGUAGGCGGUGCACUAAGUUUGUCGUGAAAUCUCCCGGCUUAACUGGGAGGGUGCGGCGAAAACUGGUGUGCUCGAGGGUGGGAGAGGUAAGCGGAAUUCCUGGUGUAGCGGUGAAAUGCGUAGAUAUCAGAGGAACACCUGUGGUGUAGACAGCUUACUG
Molecule: ribosomal RNA, 646 nt
Filed under: uncultured bacterium
Lineage: Bacteria
Description: bacterial SSU rRNA
Rfam family: Bacterial small subunit ribosomal RNA
Source: RNAcentral